Transfer RNA from Camelus ferus (Wild Bactrian camel), 72 nucleotides. It matches the Rfam family "tRNA". From Rfam's summary of the family: Transfer RNA (tRNA) molecules are approximately 80 nucleotides in length. NCBI's taxonomy places the organism in Eukaryota, Metazoa, Chordata, Mammalia, Artiodactyla, Camelidae. The record is from Rfam.
GAGGGUAUAGCUCAGUGGUAGAGUGGGUGCUUCACCUGCACCAGGUCCUGGGUUCAUUCCCAAGCACCUCCA